This 65-nucleotide transfer RNA is filed under the name Fischoederius elongatus. Its description in RNAcentral is "tRNA-Trp". It matches the Rfam family "tRNA". From Rfam's summary of the family: Transfer RNA (tRNA) molecules are approximately 80 nucleotides in length. Their secondary structure includes four short double-helical elements and three loops (D, anti-codon, and T loops). The record is from RNAcentral. Lineage: Eukaryota; Metazoa; Platyhelminthes; Trematoda; Plagiorchiida; Gastrothylacidae.
AGUAAUUUAAGUUAGUGUUAGACUGUUUGUUUUCAAAACAAGAAGCGGUUAGAAACCAUUUACUG